This 72-nucleotide transfer RNA is filed under the name Bos taurus (domestic cattle). It matches the Rfam family "tRNA". Rfam says of the family: Transfer RNA (tRNA) molecules are approximately 80 nucleotides in length. Their secondary structure includes four short double-helical elements and three loops (D, anti-codon, and T loops). The record is from Rfam by way of RNAcentral. Lineage: Eukaryota; Metazoa; Chordata; Mammalia; Artiodactyla; Bovidae. RNAcentral also lists the same sequence under 5 other names.
UUCAAAGUGGCUCAGAUGGUAAAGCAUCUGCCUGCAAUGCAAGAGACCCAGGUUCAAUCCCUGGGUUGGGAA